Molecule: ribosomal RNA, 245 nt
Filed under: uncultured bacterium
Lineage: Bacteria
Description: partial 16S ribosomal RNA
Rfam family: Bacterial small subunit ribosomal RNA
Source: RNAcentral
UACGUAGGGUGCGAGCGUUAAUCGGAAUUACUGGGCGUAAAGCGUGCGCAGGCGGUUUUGUAAGCCAGAUGUGAAAGCCCCGGGCUCAACCUGGGAAUGGCAUUUGGGACUGCAAGGCUUGAGUGCGGCAGAGGAGACUGGAAUUCCUGGUGUAGCAGUGAAAUGCGUAGAUAUCAGGAGGAAUACCGAUGGCGAAGGCAGGUCUCUGGGCUGACACUGACGCUCAUGCACGAAAGCGUGGGGAG